Molecule: non-coding RNA, 62 nt
Filed under: Cathartes aura (turkey vulture)
Lineage: Eukaryota; Metazoa; Chordata; Aves; Accipitriformes; Cathartidae
Description: XIST RNA A repeat
Rfam family: XIST RNA A repeat
Source: Rfam by way of RNAcentral
UGGCCCAUCUGGGCCGUGGAACUGUGCUCCAGAGCAAUCUGCCAUGUGGACUGCUUUUUUUU